UUCAAUUUUAACAAAAUUUGACAUAUAUGAUCUAAGAGAUAUGAACUUUCAAUCUAACGGUUGGAUUUUCAAAAUUCAUAUUUAAUAUAAAGUUAUUAAGCGGUGUAACACUUAGUAAAAGUUACACCGGUGUCGUUUGAACCUUCCUCACACACACACACACACACACACACACACACACACACACACACACAUAUAUAUAUAACAUUCACCAAAAAUUAUACAAUUUCACAAUACAAAAAAGAAAUCCCUUUAAUCAUUCCCAUUAAUAAAAAUUCAAUUUUUUUUAAUCGAUCCUCAUAUUCA
Molecule: small nucleolar RNA, 306 nt
Filed under: Cajanus cajan (pigeon pea)
Lineage: Eukaryota; Viridiplantae; Streptophyta; Magnoliopsida; Fabales; Fabaceae
Description: snoRNA gene-KK1_049267
Source: RNAcentral